RNAcentral lists this non-coding RNA (150 nucleotides) under Heterosigma akashiwo. The record is from RNAcentral. Lineage: Eukaryota; Raphidophyceae; Chattonellales; Chattonellaceae.
UAAAAAAAAGAGAAAAGCAACGGCUCCCUUUUCAGCUGCGUCCUGCUAUAUGAAAAAGCAGCCCUGUCGUUUUGUGAAUGUGUAUCCUGGCUGCUUCUUCCCUUUUUCUUUUUUUGUUGUAGUGCUUUUACUUUCUCACUGCUCUCUGUU